CGAAAGCCUGACGGAGCAAUACCGCGUGAGGGAGGAAGGCUCUUGGGUUGUAAACCUCUUUUCUCAGGGAAGAAAAAAAUGACGGUACCUGAGGAAUAAGCAUCGGCUAUCUCCGUGCCAGCAGCCGCGGUAAUACGGAGGAUGCAAGCGUUAUCCGGAAUGAUUGGGCGUAAAGGGUCCGCAGGUGGCUAUGUAAGUCUGCUGUUAAAGAACUUAGCUUAACUAGGUAAAAGCAGUGGGAACUACAAGGCUAGAGUGCGUUCGGGGUAGAGGGAAUUCCUGGUGUAGCGGUGAAAUGCGUAGAUAUCAGGAAGAACACCAGUGGCGAAGGCGCUCUACUAGGCCGCAACUGACACUGAGGGACGAAAGCUAGGGGAGCG
RNAcentral lists this ribosomal RNA (380 nucleotides) under uncultured cyanobacterium. RNAcentral describes it as "bacterial SSU rRNA". It matches the Rfam family "Bacterial small subunit ribosomal RNA", at positions 376 to 770 of the family's 1533-position model. The record is from RNAcentral. Lineage: Bacteria; Bacillati; Cyanobacteriota.